RNAcentral lists this non-coding RNA (85 nucleotides) under Ramlibacter tataouinensis TTB310. The record is from RNAcentral. Lineage: Bacteria; Pseudomonadati; Pseudomonadota; Betaproteobacteria; Burkholderiales; Comamonadaceae.
GUGAGACUCGUGCAUUUUGUGAGGAUCUCUGAAGACUAAUGCCGCAAUGUGUCGGACGGGGGUUCGAUUCCCCCCGGCUCCACCA